GAUGAACGCUAGCGGGAGGCCUAACACAUGCAAGCCGAGCGGUAGAGUCUCUUCGGAGCCUUGAGAGCGGCGCACGGGUGCGGAACACGUGUGCAACCUGCCUUUAUCUGGGGGAUAGCCUUUCGAAAGGAAGAUUAAUACCCCAUAAUAUACUGGAUGGCAUCAUCUGGUAUUGAAAACUCCGGUGGAUAGAGAUGGGCACGCGCAAGAUUAGAUAGUUGGUGAGGUAACGGCUCACCAAGUCAGCGAUCUUUAGGGGGCCUGAGAGGGUGAUCCCCCACACUGGUACUGAGACACGGACCAGACUCCUACGGGAGGCAGCAGUGAGGAAUAUUGGGCAAUGGGUGAGAGCCUGAUCCAGCCAUCCCGCGUGAAGGACGACGGCCCUAUGGGUUGUAAACUUCUUUUGUAUAGGGAUAAACCUAGAUACGUGUAUCUAGCUGAAGGUACUAUACGAAUAAGCACCGGCUAACUCCGUG
Molecule: ribosomal RNA, 479 nt
Filed under: uncultured bacterium
Lineage: Bacteria
Description: partial 16S ribosomal RNA
Rfam family: Bacterial small subunit ribosomal RNA
Source: RNAcentral